GACAAGAAAUAACAAUACAGGGCUAUUGUCUUGUAAUUGGAAUGAUGGUGACGUAAAAGCUCACCAGAGUACCAAUUGGAGGGCAAGUCUGGUGCCAGCAGCCGCGGUAAUUCCAGCCCCAAUAGCGUAUAUUAAACUUGUUGCAGUUAAAAAGCUCGUAGUUGUAUUUCAGCCUGUCGUCUUUUCCCUUGUUUGGGUUUUUUCGCGGGCCUUUUUUUUACUUUGAGAAAAUUAGAGUGUUUCAAGCAGACUUUUGUCUUGAAUACUUCAGCAUGGAAUAAUAGAGUAGGGCCUUGGUUCUAUUUUGUUGGUUGUGUACCUUGGUAAUGGUUAAUAGGAACGGUUGGGGGCAUUCGUAUUUAACUGUCAGAGGUGAAAUUCUUAG
Molecule: ribosomal RNA, 385 nt
Filed under: Babesia bigemina
Lineage: Eukaryota; Apicomplexa; Aconoidasida; Piroplasmida; Babesiidae
Description: partial 18S ribosomal RNA
Rfam family: Eukaryotic small subunit ribosomal RNA
Source: RNAcentral